GUGCUUGCUUCAGCAGCACACAUACUAAAAAAUUGGAACGAUGCGGAGAAGAUUAGCAUGGCCCCUGUGCAAGGAUGACACACAAAUUUGUGAAGCAUUCCAUAUUUCU
RNAcentral lists this small nuclear RNA (109 nucleotides) under Panthera pardus (leopard). Lineage: Eukaryota; Metazoa; Chordata; Mammalia; Carnivora; Felidae. The record is from RNAcentral.